CUUUACUCUAACUCCCAGGACUCACUCAGAGGAUGUUGAAGGAGAAACAUUGAGAGGAAAGCCAAAGACAGCCAUCUGGAGCCUGUUCAGAAGGGACGACAGUAAACAAGAUCUACUCUUCUUCAUCCCCAAUAUAACUGCUGGCAGCCUUUCCAUGAUCUCAUUGUAUGGGAACAGGAAAAUGAAGACUAGCCAAAAAAAGGAAUGUGAGAAACCUCAGGAUAGCUUACACCCUGCAUAUCAAGAUGCUACUAAAGGAAACAUCAAAAGGAACCCUACCAAUAUGAAGAGUGCUAUCAAGAUUCAUAUGCCAGCUUUUAGAGAUGAAUAAUGAAAUGAAAUGAGAUGUUUUGGUUUAUAUUUUUGCUAUGGUCAGCUUCAGUGGCAAUGUGAAUAAAGGGUGUACCCAAGCUGUAA
Hemicordylus capensis (graceful crag lizard) is the source of this 417-nucleotide long non-coding RNA. RefSeq lists it as uncharacterized. The transcript has 3 exons. Lineage: Eukaryota; Metazoa; Chordata; Lepidosauria; Squamata; Cordylidae. The record is from RefSeq and is a predicted model, not a curated record.